UGCGUAGGCGGUUUUUCAAGUCAGGAGUGAAAGGCUAUGGCUCAACCAUAGUAAGCUCUUGAAACUGUUAAACUUGAGUGCAGGAGAGGAAAGUGGAAUUCCUAGUGUAGAGGUGAAAUUCGUAGAUAUUAGGAGGAACACCAGUGGCGAAGGCGACUUUCUGGACUGUAACUGACGCUGAGGCACGAAAGCGUGGGGAGCGAACA
RNAcentral lists this ribosomal RNA (206 nucleotides) under uncultured bacterium. RNAcentral's name for it is "partial 16S ribosomal RNA". It matches the Rfam family "Bacterial small subunit ribosomal RNA", at positions 568 to 774 of the family's 1533-position model. The record is from RNAcentral.